Molecule: long non-coding RNA, 2946 nt
Filed under: Pan troglodytes (chimpanzee)
Lineage: Eukaryota; Metazoa; Chordata; Mammalia; Primates; Hominidae
Description: lincRNA
Source: RNAcentral
CUUGCGUCACUGCUCCUGUCUCCGUGUAACUCACAAUAAAGAGAUUUUGGCAUCAACUGUGAGCUUAGGGGUAGAAGAAGGGUAUAUGUUAGGAGGUGGGAGCGGAAUCAAUUCUUCAAAUCUUAAUGAUGGUGAAGAAGAGUGCUCACCAGAUUCCCUUCUGGUCUGGAAAAAGAAAUCCCUUCUUUUGUGGAUGUCAUGUCUACCAUCUCUCGGUGAAAAAUAUUUCAAGAGAAUCCUAAGAUGGAGAGAGCAUUGGAAGUCAUCCGGCCCAAUUCCCUCAUGCAAUUCAAAGCUUCUUUGUAAGAAAAAUGCCCCCAGAAGUUUGUUUGCAUCAUGAAGAUCAGAUUUUGAGAGAUCCAGUCUGGCUCUUCCCUGUACAAAACAUUCCUCACAAACAGAAUAUGGACAAUUGUUAAAUGUCAAAGGUAAAGUUAUUGUGGGAACUCCUUCAAAAAGUUCAAGUGAGAGCCCAUUCUAUGAGUGACCAUUUACAUCUAAUUUUUUUCUGUGCUAUGUUACUUAUUCUGAAGUGGUUGAUCCAAUUCCUAAAAGGGAAUAUUUCAUUACCUUUUAUUUCCUAUAGCAUCCAUUCUGACCCCUUUUCAGUUUAAUUAUUCCCUGAUCCCAGUCUUCAUUCACGCAUUUAUUUGAGAAAUAUUUAUUGACCAACAACUAUGCCAGGUCCUAUUCUAUGUGUAGGGACUAUAAAGUUGAACAAGACAGAGGAGGUACUGGCCUCAGAAUUUACAUUCUAGUAGAUGAGAAAGUAAAAAUAAACACAUGAAAACAUGAAUGAACCGGAUAUUAUAGACUGUGAUAGGUGUAGUUUGGGUAAAGCACAGAGUGCAGUAGUAAAGAUAAACUGGACUCAGAGUGGGGCUAUUUUAGAUGGAAUGGAAACCUCUGAGGAAAUGAAAUUUGAGCUGAGACCUAAAAGGUCACCCAAGGACUCAUGGGAAAACUCAGUUGUUUCUAUCAAAAUUUAGCUUCAUGAACUCCAGGCCCUUGCAAAUGAUGGUUACCAGGUGAGAAAUGUCUCACUGGCAACAGAAGUUGGCAGACCCAGCUCCAGUUCCAUCCCAGCCAACAUACCAAUGUCAUUAAAAUAAGGCCAUUCAUCAAGGUGGAGACUAUUACUAGAAACAAGCAUUCUAAAGUGCCAUUUGAGUGCCAGGCUCUCAACACUGGGCAUAGCACUGCUCCAUGAGGCUUUUGAGAGCGUGUACUGACGCAUGACCAAAAAAAUUAAGUCCCAUGUAAGUGACGCAACUGCUCCCCAAUUACUGUGGAAGUAUCUGCAGACUAACUAUUGUGCGCGUGUGUUUGUUUGCUUUAAUGAAUAAAUUCAGUCAACCAACCAUCUAGCUAUUGACUAAAUCCAUUCUUUUUCUUCCAAAAUGUCUAUUGGCUGAAGUUUACUGGUUUUUAUUUCUAUUUGCAUACAUAAUUUUCUAAACCCCAUUCUUAUGGAACCUUCUCUAAGUUCCUCUCUAUGGCCCUGUCCAUGUUCAUAUGGAUACACAUAAAGGCACAAAUACACCAAACUAAGUUUAGAGCAGUCUGGUGCCUGCCUAAGACUUCGGCCUCAUCUCCUGCUUCUACCCUCUUUAGUUUAGGAAAAACAGGUAACGUUGCUGAGUGCCAAGUAUUGUGCUAGUAGCUUUGCAUGCAUUUUUUCAUUUUAUCUUCACAAGUUUCUUCUAUCACCAUGAUCUGUAUGUUUGACCAUGCUGUUUCCUCCACCUGAAAUUCCCUUGGUGCUCUGCCUGGGGAACUGUCACUCAUUCUUCAAAUCUCAAUGGAAUGAUCUCCUCCUCUGGAAAGCUCUCCCUACUUCCCUAGGAAGAAGUAAUCCCUUCCUCAGUUCUGCUUUGAUUAUAACUUUAUAAGCACCUAUCACUCUGCAUGGUAUUAGUUCACUGUCAUGUCCAUUUCCUCCAUUGGGAUGUAAAUUGCUUAUGGGUAAUAAUUAGGCUUUGAAUCAUUUUAUGAUCUGGCCUAAGACAGUGCUUGGCACAUACUAUAGGCUCAUCAGAUGAUGGCUGAGUAGAAUUAAAUUGAAUCAAGUUCAAGUUAUCACUUUGAUGUUUAUCAAUUAACAUGUGUAGUGUGUUAAAUGGUGGUCACUGAAAACAUAUGUCUGCACCCUAAUUCCUGGAACCUGUGAAUAUAACCUUAUGUGUUAAGAAGAAAUAUGACCUUAAAUGGAUAUGGAGACAAGAAGCUUAUCCUGGAUUGUCUGAGAGGGACCUAGAUGCAACCACAUGUAUUCUGAUAAGUGGAGAGAAACAGAAGAGGAGGAUGCAAUGUGACCCUGUAGGCAGAAGUUUGAAUGGUGCAGCCACAAGCCAAGGAGUCCCUGGGGCCAUCAGAAGCUGGAAGAAGCAAGGAAUGGAUUCCUUCCUAGUGUUUGGAAGGAGUGUGCACUUGCCAACACCUUGGUUUGAGACUUCUGGCCUCCGGAACUGUGACAGAAUAAAUAUCUGUUGUUUUGAGCCACCCAGUUGUUGCUAAUUUGUUAAAGCAACCCUAGAAAAUUAAUAUAGCAUCCACAAUAAAAUUUCUCAAAAUAUAUGUUCCUGUGAAAUGGAAGAGUUCUAGGGAUCUAGUAGCAUAUACGGAACCCAGAUAAGUUAUACAAGUUUUUCCCUGAAAGUCUUUUCAGAUUCUUUAGCGGGCUAAGGUGCAUUGUGAAUCCCAAAAACUUUAGCGUUUUUCAGCAUCUAUUAUCACAUAAUCCUUUCCCCACCCAUGGAAUUAUAUACUAACCUGUUUUUGUAGAUGUUGAUGUUCUGUAGAACAGAGUUUUGGGGUCUGUAUGACUUAAGAUCCUUCUACAAUGGAACACAGUGAGGAGGGUAUUCAGAGGAGUCAUAGAGGGCAUUGAUCUUGCAAUAUAUACUCAGGAAAUUACCAUGGGCAGAAUAAAAUGCUUUUGAAAAU